CUUGAGAUCGGAGUGCUUGCACUCUGUGAAACAAGAUACAGGCUAGCGGCGGACGGGUGAGUAACACGUGGGUAACCUGCCCAAGAGAUCGGGAUAACACCUGGAAACAGAUGCUAAUACCGGAUAACAACAGAUGAUGCCUAUCAACUGUUUAAAAGAUGGUUCUGCUAUCACUCUUGGAUGGACCUGCGGUGCAUUAGCUAGUUGGUAGGGUAACGGCCUACCAAGGCGAUGAUGCAUAGCCGAGUUGAGAGACUGAUCGGCCACAUUGGGACUGAGACACGGCCCAAACUCCUACGGGAGGCAGCAGUAGGGAAUCUUCCACAAUGGACGCAAGUCUGAUGGAGCAACGCCGCGUGAGUGAAGAAGGGUUUCGGCUCGUAAAGCUCUGUUGUUGGUGAAGAAGGACAGGGGUAGUAACUGACCUUUGUUUGACGGUAAUCAAUUAGAAAGUCACGGCUAACUACGUGCCAGCAGCCGCGGUAAUACGUAGGUGGCAAGCGUUGUCCGGAUUUAUUGGGCGUAAAGCGAGUGCAGGCGGCUCGAUAAGUCUGAUGUGAAAGCCUUCGGCUCAACCGGAGAAUUGCAUCAGAAACUGUCGAGCUUGAGUACAGAAGAGGAGAGUGGAACUCCAUGUGUAGCGGUGAAAUGCGUAGAUAUAUGGAAGAACACCGGUGGCGAAGGCGGCUCUCUGGUCUGUUACUGACGCUGAGGCUCGAAAGCAUGGGUAGCGAACAGGAUUAGAUACCCUGGUAGUCCAUGCCGUANACGAUGAGUGCUAAGUGUUGGGAGGUUUCCGCCUCUCAGUGCUGCAGCUAACGCAUUAAGCACU
RNAcentral lists this ribosomal RNA (832 nucleotides) under uncultured bacterium. Its description in RNAcentral is "bacterial SSU rRNA". It matches the Rfam family "Bacterial small subunit ribosomal RNA", at positions 67 to 868 of the family's 1533-position model. The record is from RNAcentral.